Molecule: long non-coding RNA, 249 nt
Filed under: Elaeis guineensis (African oil palm)
Lineage: Eukaryota; Viridiplantae; Streptophyta; Magnoliopsida; Arecales; Arecaceae
Description: long non-coding RNA (EGUI_LNC002766)
Source: RNAcentral
GUUCGGUCCUACGGCAAUAAUCAGAGCUAAUUCAAUUGUAAGACAAUAGUCAAAGCAAGAUAUGAUCUGAAGAGGUAUAAAAGGUGGAAGAAUAUUUCUCCGUAAUUGUAGCAGAAAACUCCAGGCUAGAAGAUCUGUUGAAUGUGCAGUUUGCAAUUUAUGUGAUACUUUAGAUUCAAGAUAAAAAAUAAAUAUCUAUUGAGACAAUAUGAGUCGAAAAAAAUGACUAUACAAGCAAAGAAGACAAGA